AGCGUUGAAACACCAGUUCCUGUACGAUCAUCGAAGUUAAGCAGCAUCGAUGCUGGUCAGUACCUAUAUGGGUGACUGCAUGGGAAUACAAGGUGCUGUAUG
Acanthosepion pharaonis is the source of this 102-nucleotide non-coding RNA. NCBI's taxonomy places the organism in Eukaryota, Metazoa, Mollusca, Cephalopoda, Sepiida, Sepiidae. The record is from the annotation of a GenBank genome assembly.